Molecule: non-coding RNA, 28 nt
Filed under: Mus musculus (house mouse)
Lineage: Eukaryota; Metazoa; Chordata; Mammalia; Rodentia; Muridae
Source: RNAcentral
UGGUUUCUUUCUACAUGUUGAUCACAGC